ACGGUUAUAAAUCAACAUAUUGAUUUAUAAGCAUGGAAAUCCCCUGAGUGAAACAACGAAUUGCUGUGUGUAGUCUUUGCCCAUCUCCCAUGAUGGGCUUUUUUUUUA
RNAcentral lists this non-coding RNA (108 nucleotides) under Escherichia coli. RNAcentral's name for it is "antisense sRNA RprA". It matches the Rfam family "RprA RNA". Rfam says of the family: Translational regulation of the stationary phase sigma factor RpoS is mediated by the formation of a double-stranded RNA stem-loop structure in the upstream region of the rpoS messenger RNA, occluding the translation initiation site. Clones carrying rprA (RpoS regulator RNA A) increased the translation of RpoS. The rprA gene encodes a 106 nucleotide regulatory RNA. Lineage: Bacteria; Pseudomonadati; Pseudomonadota; Gammaproteobacteria; Enterobacterales; Enterobacteriaceae. The record is from RNAcentral.